RNAcentral lists this transfer RNA (73 nucleotides) under Candidatus Woesearchaeota archaeon CG10_big_fil_rev_8_21_14_0_10_34_12. Its description in RNAcentral is "tRNA-Glu". It matches the Rfam family "tRNA". Rfam says of the family: Transfer RNA (tRNA) molecules are approximately 80 nucleotides in length. Their secondary structure includes four short double-helical elements and three loops (D, anti-codon, and T loops). Further hydrogen bonds mediate the characteristic L-shaped molecular structure. tRNAs have two regions of fundamental functional importance: the anti-codon, which is responsible for specific mRNA codon recognition, and the 3' end, to which the tRNAs corresponding amino acid is attached (by aminoacyl-tRNA synthetases). tRNAs cope with the degeneracy of the genetic code in two manners: having more than one tRNA (with a specific anti-codon) for a particular amino acid; and 'wobble' base-pairing, i.e. permitting non-standard base-pairing at the 3rd anti-codon position. The record is from RNAcentral. Lineage: Archaea; Nanobdellati; Candidatus Woesearchaeota.
GCUCCUAUAGUCUAGAGGCCAAGGAUUCAGCCCUUUCGAGGCUGAGACCCGGGUUCGAAUCCCGGUAGGAGCA